Long non-coding RNA from Strigops habroptila (Kakapo), 1792 nucleotides. RefSeq lists it as uncharacterized. Lineage: Eukaryota; Metazoa; Chordata; Aves; Psittaciformes; Psittacidae. The record is from RefSeq and is a predicted model, not a curated record. The transcript has 3 exons.
AGGGCGACAAGUUGCGGACCGCAGCAGAGCCCUGCCAGGGGCAGGGCGGGGACCCCCGGGGACCGUACCUGGAGGCAGCGUGCGGCCGGGGCGGGGAUGAGGGGUAGGAGGGGGCAGGGGCGGAGGGUGCCAACAGCGAGCGGAGCAGGAGGCGCCGGGCGGCGGCGGAGCGCGGCCAGGACGGAGCGGAUCCCGAGCGGCGGGCGCGCGCGCGUGCUGUGGCUUAAAGACUCCACGGCAGAGCAAUGAGAGACAAAAGAAGGAAGAAAAGUGCUUGGGCUGUCAAGAUAAUUUGCUACUUCCAACUUUUAGCUGUUCACUCAAGUAUUCCUUGGACUCAAGAAGAUGUUUUUCAUGUAAAGAAAAACAGAUCUGUGAUGUUCAUGCUCCAGUUGUCCAGCUUGGGGCAAGUAGGGCUUGUUUAUUAGAGGGACAGAAAUAUACAGCAUUUCUAAAAAUCAGCAUUACAACAUGGAACUACAGUAAGAUUCAUUUUGCCUGAAUAUAUUUUGAAGUUCAAAGGCAAAUCCUCUUCUAUUGCUACUAUGAAAUUGAUGUUCAGAGAAAAUUUUACAGACAGGUCCAGUAAUGAUCAAUCCUUUUUCCAGGAAUACAAAGAAAGGAGAGACACUAGACUUCUGCCUCCUUGUGUUGCCCACAAAAUUGCCAUGUACUGACUUUUGAAUUUGGAAAUACCAGGAAUCAUCCAUCAGCGAUUGUCUUUGCUUCUGCAAAGGCCUCAUCUCCCCUCUUCACUAGCUAAUAUUGGCCAUCCUAAAUGAUGUUCAACACAUGAAUUUAUCAAUGACCAUGGAUUUGCCUAAGCUUCAAGGCCUCUGAUGACUUCUGAGAGUGUUUUUGCACAUCUUUUCUCCCACCAUGAUGCAGCCUGUAGGCGGAUGAUACAAAUAAGCAUAUUUUUAUGUCUAAAAUAUUUAAUUAGUUAAAUUCUGUUUCUGGAGAUUCAAUACCCUGAAAGAUUAGUAAAAAUAAGCGGAUAGCUAAAGGGAAUAUAGCAUGGCAAACAAAGCGAUUAACAAGGGACAAGUUUUUCAGACAAGCUGGUUUAAAAGGUACUGUCUUUUGUGACACUGUCUUUUUGUCACUCUAGAAUAAAAAGCACAAUACGGACCUUCGGGUUGCCUGAAAACUGCUGAAAUUGGCAGUUCUGGCAGUGACAGGUUUUGAGCAGAAAAAAAAAAAAAGGGUUGUUUUUAUUGUUGGGUUUUUUUGUAUUAUUCCUGCUAAAGGACAAUGAAAAUUUGGAUUUUUAAAAAUGGAUGCUUUUCUGAAGUCCUGAUAAAAGAUGUCAGCCUUUGCCCUAAUUUCAGCUGCUUUAAAGAAUGGCCAGAAUUCAUUUAGCAGUCUGUUCAAUAACUGCUCCUAGUCAGGAAAGCUUUUGUUGCUGAUCCAAGAUUACCUUAUCUUGGGUGGCAAAAAAUCUGUGUUUUAAAAAUGGUUCUGCCUCCCAGGACUUCAAAGAGUUUUCUCCUGUCUGUGACUAAUGUUAGCUAAAACACCCAAAGACAGUUCUAACAUGAAAUGACUUGCCUAGGUUCAACAAGAACAACAAAAAAAUCACAUUGCUCCAUACUGAGUCGACACAAAUGUACCUUCUUUGUCUGUGGAGUCUAGAUAGUAAAAUUUAGGACAAGUGUUGUGCCACAUUCCAUGUUUCUUAGAAAAAAACAUAAACCACAUAAUUGCUUAUGAAUGUAGAUGUAGCCUGUGACAGUUUGCUCAUAUUUUGCAAAAAUAUUGAGCUAUUUAUAAACAUAUCUGGGUUAAGUAA